Molecule: long non-coding RNA, 571 nt
Filed under: Fukomys damarensis (Damara mole-rat)
Lineage: Eukaryota; Metazoa; Chordata; Mammalia; Rodentia; Bathyergidae
Description: lncRNA (ENSFDAG00000022006.1)
Source: RNAcentral
CAGGACUCUCAGGAAGAGCCUUUGCGUAUCCCUGGGCUCAAGGGUGUGGAGUCACUUCCUACUCCCAUGGGAUACCCUCUGGGAAGCUGCAGAGGGACCCACUCCAGCUCGCCUGUGUGGAUCCUUGGGGACCCUCAGCCUCCGGGGACCCAGAUACUCCCUCAGGGAGGCCUCUUGACCCCUCCAUGUUGGCCCAGAAGAGCCUGCUCAGGAUAGGGGUCUCGAGGACUCUGACCACCACAGACAGAGUGGAGAGCAGGACAGAAGCACUCAACGUGGGAGAAGGCAAAGAAACAAAUCUGAGGAAGCCAUGAUGUGGACACCAAGACAAACUGCCAUCCUUUCCAUGUUCCCUCUCCUUACUCUUAAGAAAGAGCCAGAAACGUCUGUUUUGCUGCCAUUCGGGAAAAGCCGCUGUUCUGGUCAGCCUGCCCCUCACUGGAGGGUUUACCUGGCUCGUGGUUUCAGGGGAUCCAAUCCAUGGCUGACCCCAAGGCUGGAGCAUCAGGGCACAGGGGAGCAAAGCUACUUUGUUCGUGGCAGCUGGAAGCAGAGAAGGGAGGAGCACUAG